Molecule: RNA transcript, 2508 nt
Organism: Panicum virgatum (switchgrass)
Lineage: Eukaryota; Viridiplantae; Streptophyta; Magnoliopsida; Poales; Poaceae
Gene name: serine/arginine repetitive matrix protein 1-like
Exons: 2
Source: RefSeq, a predicted model, not a curated record
UUUUUCUUUGGUUCCCACUCCUUGUGUCAGUCAGCACCGCGUGCUCACCACUAUCUGUUGAACCCGAGAUCCAAUCGGUGGAAAGCUUCUCAAAAAAACUCACCCUCGUCCCCCGUUGCCCCCCGCGCACUGCCACCUCGCGCAGCCACCCCCUCCACCCCACACCGCCGCCGCCCCGCCGCACAUCCCGCACCGCUGCUGCCCUUUGUGCGGUUCGCCGCGGCAAAGCAGAUGUCGGCCUUGACUGGCGGGCGAGCUCGGCCGCGACUCAUGACGACGCCGCGGGCAGAGCUCGGCCGCGACCGACUCCUCCCCGAACAAGCUCGGCCGCAGCUCCCGCCGUGCAGACUCCCGACGCAUGGCUGGGUGGUGGUGGCCGGUGGUGGCUCCCCUACUCGCGGCCCUGCUCCCCUGCAGCGGCGGAACCCCAGCCCACCUCGGCCUCGUCGGCGUGGGCGUCGAGCUCGAGCAGAUCCGCCGCGCCGAGCUUCUCCAGGUGCUCGAGCGGAUCUGGGUAGCGGAUCCGCACCCCCCUCCUCGGCGCUCGAGCUCGGCCGGCUCCGGGCGCUCCCUCCCUCCCCAGCCUCCAGCGCGCGGCCUUCCCUCCCCACGCCUUCCUCCGCGGCUGCCGGCGAGCCGCACCGCCCCACGCCUCCUACUCGCUCCCCCCUAGCCUCCUGUGCUUCGGCUCCCCCCUGGCCGUGGGCUCGCGGCAGCCAGGCUUGGCGGCGGCGCGCGGAUGCGUCCGCUGGCGCGGCGGCCGGGCCAGGCAGCGGCGCUCGGGGGCGCCGCGCCGAGCCAGCGGACGCGCGGCGGCCGGGCGUGUUGGGCCCUCCUCUGCUCCGGCGGACGGGGAGCUCGGCUCCAUGUCCAACCGCCGUGCGAGCAGGGCGGACGCGCGCGGCGCGGCGCCCAGGCUGCGGCAGCGAACGGCGGGCGGGGCGGAGGCCAGCCCAUGGCGGCGCUGCUUGCGGCGGAGUGGUGGCCCCGCCCCCGAUGGUGGGCUCCCCCGUCCCUGCCCUUGUCGCCGACGGCCGAGCUCCGCGCGCGGGGGCGCCCGCCCGUCCCUCCCAUGCCCCGGCCACGGCGCGUGCGCAACAUUGCCGCCGCUCCAUUUCUUCCACAGAAUGGCUGCCAGGAUCGAUUUCCCGCGUGCGUUUGCAUUGGUUAUAAUAGAUUUGAUUUACUUGCUGCAUCUCCAUGAUUUUUAGGAAAUGAAGAGUGUUAAAUCCUCUGAAUUCUGUGGGUUUUGAUUUGCAAAACUGAAUCUAAUAAAUCAUGAUUCUCCCUGCUGGUCUCUUUUCCCCGUCUCUUCUUCCAUUCUUCAAUUCUUCCUGUCCUUGACUUCUGCAGUGUUAUAUUGCUGUCGUUACUUUCCCCUUUUACGAUCUGUGGUACUAAUGAAUAAAACCUUGAUUUCUUUGUAUUAACUUUUUUUAAUGUUAACACUUACAGUAUCUAAUGUCUUAACUCCCAGAUACUUCGCAGUUGAGAACAAAGUGCUGCUGUCCCACAUAGAAUUAUGCUUAGAAGAUACAAGUACAACUGGACUUCUGGGUAUAAAAGAAAAAUGCUGGGUCUUCUAGAUACAAUUCCUGACUUAAGGUAAGAUGUGCAUUUCCAUACAAAACUGACAGUAACACUUUGCAGAAUUCGAUAAAUAGUUAAGUCCUACACCAUGUCUUCAUUGUUGACAUUUUAUAGAUCAAGUUCUACUUUUUAAUUGUUGCCAUACGCCCAUAUCUAAUUGUUAAAAAUGAAUAGCAUAGAAACGUUGAACCUGACUAUUUUAUAGACCAGCACUACAACUUUUUUACAAUCUAUUGGAUUUGCACGAAACUGUUUACUGCCCAGUUGUGAUUAAACAUAUACAAGAUGUCAAGAUCAAGUCUCUUCAACUCUCCUUCACUUGUCAGUACAUUUUUUGUUUUCCUUCCGUGGUAACAGCUAGGUUUCCACUGACUUUGCAUUAACAGCUAUUACUAUUCAAAAAUUAUGCCUAGGAAAAUGCCAUCUUAGAAACACUGCAUAUUUACUUCCUUCUGAAAAAUUAAAUUAUUGUCGUUCAUUGUGUGUCUAUGUUAAGCAGGGUUCGAAGUUAGUGCUGUUUGAGAUAAUUAUGAUAGUUCUGCAGGAUUAGAACUGACUGAUACAUGAUAUCUGUAACAACUGAAUAGAUUCCAGAAGUUUUGAGAUUUCCAAUAUGUUUGACCUUUAGCCUUGAUGCUUAACUUCAUUAUUUAAGUUGGGAUGAAAAGUUAGUUCAACUUUGAAAGGCCAUCUCUUGGGUUAGGCAUCCUAACUGAAGCAAUGCUUUGGAAGAGUUAAUUCGAGCGGUUUAGGUGUUUUUUUUAUCAGGUCCCACUCUUAUGUCUAUAUGUAAUAGACUAUAGGUAUCCAUUGUAAGGGCACGAUACAGGCUCAUAACUGUAUCACUUGGGUUUCUACCCCUCCCCUUUUCUUCUUCAUAUAUUGAUGCGUAGUUCGCAUGCGCGUUCAAGGAAAAAA